UACGUAGGGUGCGAGCGUUGUCCGGAAUUAUUGGGCGUAAAGAGCUCGUAGGCGGUUUGUCGCGUCGACUGUGAAAACCUACAGCUUAACUGUGGGCUUGCAGUCGAUACGGGCAGACUUGAGUUCGGUAGGGGAGACUGGAAUUCCUGGUGUAGCGGUGAAAUGCGCAGAUUUCAGGAGGAACACCGGUGGCGAAGGCGGGUCUCUGGGCCGAUACUGACGCUGAGGAGCGAAAGCGUGGGGAGCGAACAGG
This 253-nucleotide ribosomal RNA is filed under the name uncultured bacterium. RNAcentral describes it as "partial 16S ribosomal RNA". It matches the Rfam family "Bacterial small subunit ribosomal RNA", at positions 524 to 776 of the family's 1533-position model. The record is from RNAcentral.